GAGGGUAUAGCUCAAGCAGUGGAACACAUGCUUAGCACGUAUGAGGUCCUGGGUUCAAUCCCAGGUACCUCCA
RNAcentral lists this transfer RNA (73 nucleotides) under Camelus bactrianus (Bactrian camel). It matches the Rfam family "tRNA". From Rfam's summary of the family: Transfer RNA (tRNA) molecules are approximately 80 nucleotides in length. Their secondary structure includes four short double-helical elements and three loops (D, anti-codon, and T loops). RNAcentral also lists the same sequence under 2 other names. Lineage: Eukaryota; Metazoa; Chordata; Mammalia; Artiodactyla; Camelidae. The record is from Rfam by way of RNAcentral.